GGCGGGACGGCCGCGGGCUCUGCGCCCGCCCUCGGCGCGGACCCUGGGCCCCGACCCCGCGGUCGCCGGGGCUCCCCUUCCUCUGUCCCAGUGCGCCCAGCCCCGCGCUCCGCACCCGGGCACCCCCGCGGGGUUCUCCUGAGUUCCUGGAGCUCCCGGGGCUGGCGCUCACGCCGUGAGAGGGGUGCGCCCUUAGGGGGGCGGGACGGACGGGGGGUUUCUACGGGAGGUAGGAAACGGGCGGCUUGCAAGGCGCGGGCUUAGGCCGGAGCCUGGUGGUGCGAGGUCCCCAGCUCGGAUUUCUCCCUGGUGGAGAGUCCCGGAGCAGAACAAACCAGCAGAGGCUCUGGAAAGGGUCCUCCUGAGCACGUGGCUCAUUCAUUCAUUCGACAAACGUUACCUGAGCGCCUGCCCACUCAUUGCCCGAGUGUGCUGGGAGCGCCGCACCAACUGCCUGGUAGGUGGGAGAAGGGACACGUCAGGUAACAAACAGCACAGGUAAGUGCCGGCCACUCAAAUGGGGUGGAAAGAGGUGGCACAGCGCUGCCGAGGGAGUGCGUUCCAGACAGGUGACCUCUUGCUUGGGUGCUGAAUGAGUGGAGUUUUCCAGAGAGACCAAGAGGAAGCAGCCGCAGAAACCUCAGCCCAGCUGGGCUUGCAGAAGCUAAUGCUAGAAUAGUUGUGGGACUCAGGAUCUGCUGAAGUCGGGGGAAGAGAGAAGUAGGGAAAGGAAAGCCCAGGCCACGCGUGGGGCUCAGGAACGGCAUCCUCGCCCGAGAAAAGAGAGGUUAAAACCAAGACAUGGACAAAGCCUCCGAAUGAAGGCAGCCCUUUAAAUGGAAUAAAUUUGGUUUCAUGGCACAUUAAUGGGGUGUCUUCUCUCCGAAGACACAGAGACAACUACAGUAGGUCUGGGGGCCGUCAGGGAUUGGAGGAACGAAGGUAAGAAAAGGAAGAAGGUAAGAAAAAGAGGUCCCUACCUCUGUGAGGUAGGGACAGUGCUGAACAGCAGGGCUGGGAGAGCCCACAGGGAGGUGGCCAGGAUGGCCACAGGGCCUGGGGAGGACCAGGUGGGGCACCAUCCUGCGGUAGAGAAUGCCCGUCACCUGCCCUAGGGGCCACCCAGAAUGCAGAUUAAAUAAGUAUUUGGGAAUGGCACAGGAGCUUUUCCAUUUUCGUGGGUUAGAGGAAAGCUGCUGCGUUCAAGAGGAUAACGUGGGACCUGAGCAUUCUGGUAAGUCAACCCCACAUUCAUGGAAAGCCACGGGCUCUGUUUUACUGAUAAGGAACUGAAGUCCCACAGAGGAAGUGGCCAGGCUCACUCACACACAGCAUGCACUUGAAGCUUUCUGUGGAAAUCAGAAACCUCCGGGGCUCAGGCGCUGUAGUGGUGGCCUGGUGACUCUGACCCCUUGAAGGAGAAGCAUCUGUGAAGGUGCUGUCCAGGACAAGUAGGGUGCUCUACGGUAAAGGACAUGGUGGCCUGACCUGCUCCAGAGCAGGGAGGCCUCCCUUGAGGAAAUAAGAUAAACCCAGACUUUAAGGAUAAGCAGAAACCAGCUAGGUGAACUGGAGUGGGAACAGCACGUGAAAAGGCCCUGGUUUAGGAAGGAGCACCACUCCUUCAGAGCACAGAAAGGCCAGGAUGGCCGAAGCAUAGGGAACAACAGGAAAGUGACAUAAAUUGAGGCUGCAGAGGUAGAAGAAGGGCCUUAUUGGUCGUGCUAGGAAUUUGGAAUUCUGCAAAGAAGCCUGGGAAACAGAUUUUGGUGACACUCGCCUUCUCUUUAAUGUGCAGUUUCAGUUCUGUUGGUGUGAUUCUGCAUUGGAGAUGGCGUGCUGUAACGAAUGGCCAGGAGCUUAAGAGUCAUGCAGACUUGGGAGGCCUGGCCUUGCCACGCCCAGCUGCAUGGCCAUCCUCCUCCUGUUUCUGGCCGUUCUGUUUCUAAACCUUGGGGUUCUGAUAUUCCUACAUGUAAACUAGGGGCUGUAAUAGGAAUCUCACAGUCAAAGUGGAGGAAGGAGGAGCUUGAGAUUGAAAAAUCAGUUUGAGAAGCAGCCACCUUGACUGGCUUCACUCUAAUAGCCUGGACGCUGCCUCCACACUCCAGGUGCACUGCUCAGCAUUCUCCAAGAAGAUCAUUAAGGCAGACCCUACGUGUUAAAUUUCAAUCAGUUUCAUUGAGCAAAUAUGCUGUUAAAUAGAGACUGCUGUGUGCUGCGUCAGUGUGCCUUAUGGGCAAAUGUGAUGGUGACUAUAAAUGCAGACCAAGCAGUCCUUCCCACACUGUGUACACAAAGAAAGGAGCUCUGGAACUGGGAGCCAGGACAUCUGCAGGAGGAGAAUUCUGAAGUGAAAGGAGGCCUGGAUAUUGGUUGCAAGGCCUUGUCCCUGGAGCCUGGAUGCUCUCAUACCUUCUACAUCUGGGCCUCUGGGUCCAGGACAGUGCCAGGGAGAGUUCAUAGAAACAAAUGUGUUGAAGACCUUAGCGGUUGUCUGACUCUGAGACAGUUACCUGGCCACUCUUAAGUUUCCUCAUUUUUUUUUUAAUUUUACUUUAAGUUGCGGGAUACAUGUGCAGAACGUGCAGGUUUGUUACAUAGGUAUGCAUGUGCCAUGGUGGUUUGCUGCACCUGUCAACCUUUCAUCUAGGUUUUAAGCCCCUCAUGCAUUAGAUAUUUGUCCUAAUGCUCUCCUUCCCCUUGGCCCCCUGUCAGGUCCUGGUGUGUGUGUUGUCUGGCCCCCACCGUGUCCAUGUGUUCCUAUUGUUCAUCUCCCAUUUAUGAGUGAGAAUAUGUGGUGUUUGGCUUUCUCUUCCUGUGUUAGUUUGCUGAGGAUGAUGGUUUCCAGCUUCAUCCAUGUCCCUGCAGAGGACAUGAUCUCAUCCUUUUCAUGGCUGCAUAGUAUUCCGUGUUGUGUAUAUACCACAUUUUCUUUAUCCAGUCUUUCAUUGGUGGACAUUUGGGUUGGUUUCAUGUCUUUGCUAUUGUAAAUAGUGCUGCAAUAAACAUUAUGUGUGCAUGUGUCUUUAUAGUAAAAUGAUUUCUAUUCCUU
This 3055-nucleotide long non-coding RNA is filed under the name Homo sapiens (human). RNAcentral describes it as "HSALNT0169815". The record is from RNAcentral. Lineage: Eukaryota; Metazoa; Chordata; Mammalia; Primates; Hominidae.